CAGCCUCCGCCUCCGGCAUUCCGGUCCACCCUCCGGUCUCCACCGGUAAAUUUUUUCAUUUUUUUUUGUUUUUCGACACUCUCCCUCCGCCCCGAUUGUGCGCCGGGCCGACGGUCCGUCGGUCCGCCUUCGUUUCUCGAAAAUCGGAGUCCGGAAGAAGGCCCCUUCCCGAUCCCGUCUUCGUUUUUAGCUUUAGGCCUCCAA
This 204-nucleotide long non-coding RNA is filed under the name Elaeis guineensis (African oil palm). Its description in RNAcentral is "long non-coding RNA (EGUI_LNC058195)". Lineage: Eukaryota; Viridiplantae; Streptophyta; Magnoliopsida; Arecales; Arecaceae. The record is from RNAcentral.